Molecule: ribosomal RNA, 377 nt
Filed under: uncultured bacterium
Lineage: Bacteria
Description: partial 16S ribosomal RNA
Rfam family: Bacterial small subunit ribosomal RNA
Source: RNAcentral
UGGGGAAUAUUGGACAAUGGGGGCAACCCUGAUCCAGCAAUGCCGCGUGUGUGAAGAAGGUUUUCGGAUUGUAAAGCACUUUCGGCGGGGACGAUGAUGACGGUACCCGCAGAAGAAGCCCCGGCUAACUUCGUGCCAGCAGCCGCGGUAAUACGAAGGGGGCUAGCGUUGCUCGGAAUGACUGGGCGUAAAGGGCGUGUAGGCGGGUUUGUACAGUCAGAUGUGAAAAUCCCCGGGCUUAAUCUGGGAGCUGCAUUUGAUACGCGCAGACUAGAGUGUGAGAGAGGGUUGUGGAAUUCCCAGUGUAGAGGUGAAAUUCGUAGAUAUUGGGAAGAACACCGGUGGCGAAGGCGGCAACCUGGCUCAUGACUGACGCU